This 923-nucleotide ribosomal RNA is filed under the name uncultured bacterium. RNAcentral's name for it is "bacterial SSU rRNA". It matches the Rfam family "Bacterial small subunit ribosomal RNA", at positions 8 to 916 of the family's 1533-position model. The record is from RNAcentral.
AGAGUUUGAUCCUGGCUCAGGACGAACGCUGGCGGCGUGGAUUAGGCAUGCAAGUCGGACGGUAGGGCUUUAUCGUAAGAUAGAGUUUGAGAGUGGCGAACGGGUGAGUAACACGUAGGAAUCUACCCUUAAGACGGGGACAACCCAGGGAAACUUGGGCUAAUACCGGAUGAGAGUGCGAGAGAUUGCAUUUAAAAGGAUGGCGAAAGUUGUCGCUUAGGGAUGAGCCUGCGGUCUAUUAGUUAGUUGGUGAGGUAAGAGCUCACCAAGGCGAUGAUAGAUAGGCGGCCUUAACGGGUGGUCGCCCACACUGGGAUUGAGAUACGGCCCAGACUCCUACGGGAGGCAGCAGUCGAGAAUAGUCUACAAUGGCCGGAAGGCUGAUAGUGCGACGCCGCGUGAACGAGGGAGCCCUUCGGGGUGUAAAGUUCUUUUCUAUACGAGCAGUGCUAUAUAUAUGGAUAGUAUAUAUAGAGGGAUAGUAGUAUAGGAAUAAGCAACGGCUAACUCCGUGCCAGCAGCCGCGGUAACACGGGGGUUGCGAGCGUUGUCCGGAAUUACUAGGCGUAAAGGGCAGGUAGGCGGAUCUACGAGUUUUUUGUUAAAGGCUACGGCUCAACUGUAGUAGAGCAGGAGAUACUGUAGGUCUGGAAUGCGGUAGGGGAAGACAGAAUUCCUGGUGUAGCGGUGGAAUGCGCAGAGAUCAGGAGGAAUACCGAAGGCGAAGGCAGUCUUCUAGGCCGUAAUUGACGCUUAACUGCGAAGGUGUGGGGAUCAAACAGGAUUAGAUACCCUGGUAGUCCACACAGUAAACGAUAAUCACUAGAUGUCGGGUUCUAGAUGGAUUCGGUGUCGGAGCAAACGCGAUAAGUGAUUCGCCUGGGGAGUACGAUCGCAAGGUUGAAACUCAAAGGAAUUGACGG